AUUGUAUUUAAAAAAUCCCCUUUUUUUUUUCAGGUGAAGAAGCGACUAUGGUGAGCCAGCUCUCCACGUUGAUCCCAGUCUGAUUUCCUUCUGCUGUUCAAUAUACCUUUUCUUGCCAGUAAUUGGCAUUUGUAUGUUAAAAAUGGGAACUAAUUCUGAAAUUAGCUUAAGAUUUGAACAUUGCUCAUCUGGUGAUAGUUCCACCCUUCUUCGCGCAAGGAGGGGACUCUGCGGGCUCUUUUCCACACCAGAUAGUGGACAGUCAGCCCUACUCGAGGCUGAAUCGGCGCCCUGGAGGCCACCUUCCGCCUUCACUGCUGUGUCAUCACCCUCACCAGGCACUUCCCACCCUCUGCCUGGGGUCAGGAACAGGAAACUGCAUUCCUGAAAUCUGCCCUUCCAAGUAUAUUUGUUGCUCUGUGGUGGUAGCAGUAAGUAGCAGGAGGCUAGACAUUAAAAAUGGAAUUUUCUUGGUGAA
Felis catus (domestic cat) is the source of this 478-nucleotide long non-coding RNA. RefSeq lists it as uncharacterized. Lineage: Eukaryota; Metazoa; Chordata; Mammalia; Carnivora; Felidae. The record is from RefSeq and is a predicted model, not a curated record. The transcript has 2 exons.